CAGGAAAAAGAGCUCCAGUCAAUAAUUGAUGGAGAUUAAUCCUACCUGAGACAAAGCUUUGCAGAAAACCAAUGCAUCCGACUGGAAGCGCCGAGCUCAGGGUGCGACAAAGGAGUGAGGACUGUGAGCGCGGCCGCGGCGCCCGGGUCUCGGGCGUGGCUCCGGCCUCCUGCACCCCUGUCCAGCACCCCUACCUCUUCCUCCAUCCUCCAUCAACUUCCCUUUCUCUGGCUACUUCCACCCCGCUCGCCUGUGCACGCCCGCGCCCCAGCCCGGCGGGCGAGAUCAGCUCCGCAGCGCGCUGCCCGCCCAGAGGGGGCGUCUGGCACCGCUUGGCACCCGGGUGCGCCCCGGCCCCGCCGAGUCUCCGACUUCGCCAUUGUUCCGAGAGCCCGAGUGGGUGUGGAACCCGGCCCUGGAGUCCUGCUCGACCACAAAGUCUGGUCUUUAGUAUUACGAAACUGAAUUUUCCCGGGGUCUGACAGGCGUGGACGCAAAUCUCUUGGUCUCCGGAGAAUCGGAAGGAAAACGCUUUGGAUUCGCGUUCGCUUGUUGGAGACACCGCCUCUGCUGAGAACUUGGAAAGGAAGGUUGGUGGCGGUGAGGAAGGAAGAGGAUGAUCUAGAGAUGGACGGUUCCAGAGGCAUCCGGUAGGUUCUUCCAGGACAUCCAUGAGUCAGCCACCGGCCGGGGGCGCAGCUCCCGAGGCUCGCCUGCACCCGGAGGGCAGCAGCCGGAAGCAGCCGCGAGCGCAGUCACCCGCCAGACCCAGAGACAAUUCUCUCCGGCAGACGGCCGCGGCCACCAGGUCCCCCGUGGGGGCCAGUACCAAACUCAACUCGGCCCGGCCGCAGCCACCACCGCCGCAGCCGGGGAGCAAGACCAGCAGCCGCGGGGCGCCCACCGCCGGGGCCCGGGGAGGGGGCGGGGCGGAGAGGGCGGCGCCCCCGGCGCCCAAAGGCGCUGUCCAGCCCGCGCCAGGUGCUGAAGCUGCGCCCUGCGCACCCCCGGCCCCCGGGGGCCCUAGGAGGUCCGCGCCGCCGCCGGAGGAGCCUGCGCGGGAGCUAGAGCCAGCGCCCCCGAAAGUCGGGGAGGCCCUUCCGCCCGCGGAAGGAGGUGGCGGGGACCGUGAAGGAGGAGGAGCCGGCGGCGGCCCCGGGGAGCGCGAGGGGGGCGCAGCGCAGGCGGCGCCGCCCAGGGGCUGGCGAGGGCGAGGCGGGCGCUCGGCGCCGAGGGGCGGCGUUGGCGGCGGGGAGGGGGCGUCCGCGUCCGUGUCGUCGCCUCCGGGCUCUGCGAGCGGCCGAGCCCCGGGCCCGGGCAGCGGCAGGAGUUCCGGAAGCGGCGUGGCGGGGGGCGGCGGCGCGGGCUUCUGGAAGGAAGGAUGUCUGCAGUCUGAGCUCAUCCAGUUCCACCUGAAGAAGGAGCGAGCGGCGGCCGCCGCGGCUCAGAUGCACACGAAGAACGGCGGCGGCGGAGGCAGCCGGGGGUCCCCGGUGGCCGCCGGCGCCCCAGGCCUGUGCGAGCCCCUCGCGGGCUCCGCCGCGUCCCCCAUGGCGGCGGCGACCGAGGGCCCCCAGCCGGGCGCGGAGGCCAGCGCGGGCGCAGGGGGCCUGCAGCCGGCAGCGCCGCCCGCCUCGCAGUCGCAGCGGCUCCAGGAGCAGGAGGAGAUGCAGGAGGAGAUGGAGAAGCUGCGGGAGGAAAACGAGACGCUCAAGAACGAGAUUGAUGAGCUGAGAACCGAGAUGGACGAGAUGAGGGACACUUUCUUCGAGGAGGACGCUUGUCAGCUGCAGGAAAUGCGCCACGAGUUGGAGCGGGCCAACAAGAACUGCCGGAUCCUGCAGUACCGCCUCCGCAAGGCCGAGCGCAAGCGGCUGCGAUACGCGCAGACCGGAGAAAUCGACGGGGAGCUGCUGCGCAGCCUGGAGCAGGACCUCAAGGUUGCUAAGGAUGUGUCUGUGAGACUUCACCAUGAAUUGGAAAAUGUGGAAGAAAAGAGAACCACCACAGAGGAUGAAAAUGAGAAACUGAGGCAACAGCUGAUAGAAGUUGAAAUUGCAAAGCAAGCAUUACAGAAUGAACUGGAAAAAAUGAAAGAGCUGUCAUUAAAAAGAAGAGGAAGCAAAGAUUUGCCAAAAUCAGAAAAAAAGGCUCAACAGACUCCCACAGAGGAGGACAACGAAGAUCUGAAAUGCCAGCUGCAGUUUGUCAAGGAAGAAGCCGCUCUGAUGAGGAAGAAGAUGGCCAAGAUUGACAAAGAGAAGGACCGAUUUGAACACGAGCUGCAGAAGUACAGAUCCUUCUACGGGGAUCUGGACAGCCCGCUGCCCAAGGGGGAAGCCGGGGGCCCUCCCAGCACCAGGGAGGCCGAGCUCAAGCUGCGGCUGCGGCUGGUGGAAGAGGAAGCCAACAUCCUGGGCCGGAAGAUUGUGGAGCUGGAGGUGGAGAACCGCGGGCUGAAGGCGGAGCUCGACGACCUGCGGGGAGAUGACUUCAGCAACGGCGCCGCCAACCCGCUGAUGCGCGAGCAGAGCGAGUCCCUGUCGGAGCUGCGGCAGCACCUGCAGCUGGUGGAGGACGAGACGGAGCUGCUGCGCAGGAACGUGGCCGACCUGGAGGAGCAGAACAAGCGCAUCACGGCGGAGCUCAACAAGUACAAGUACAAGUCGUCGGCGGCCGGGGGCCACGACAGCAGCGCGCGGCACCACGACAGCGCCAAGAGCGAGGCGCUGCAGGAGGAGCUCAAGGCGGCGCGCCUGCAGAUCAACGAGCUGAGCGGCAAGGUCAUGCAGCUGCAGUACGAGAACCGCGUGCUCAUGUCCAACAUGCAGCGCUACGACCUGGCCUCGCACCUGGGCAUCCGCGGCAGCCCGCGCGACAGCGACGCCGAGAGCGACACGGGCAAGAGGGAGAGCGACGACGACGCGCGGCCGCCGCACCGCAAGCGCGAGGGCCCGAUCGGCGGCGAGAGCGAGCCCGAGGAGGCGCGGCACGCGCGCUGCCUGACCCCCACGCGCGGCCUGCACCCCGCGCCCGCGCCCUGGCCGCGGGGCCUGUGCGAGCGCCAGCACCUCAAAGACAUUCGCUCGGAGGCCGAGCGCCUGGGCAAGACCAUCGACCGGCUCAUCGCCGACACCAGCACCAUCAUCACCGAGGCACGCAUCUACGUGGCCAACGGGGACCUGUUCGGACUCAUGGAUGAGGAGGACGACGGCAGCCGCAUCCGCGAGCACGAGCUGCUCUACCGCAUCAACGCGCAGAUGAAGGCCUUCCGCAAGGAGCUGCAGACCUUCAUCGACCGCCUGGAGGUGCCCAAGUCCAGCGACGACCGGGGCGCCGAGGAGCCCAUAUCCGUGAGUCAGAGUCAGUCAGGCUUCUCUACAGUGAAGAGCCCAGGAGUGGUGGAGGACUGUGCUGUGGUAGCUUUAAGGCAACACUAACCCAGGGACAUGGAAAUAACAAAGAUUCCAUAACAGGGAAAACCAGUAUUUUUCGUCCAUCCUGAUUUGUAGAGGCACCGGAUGAAUGGGACUGAGCUGCUUUGGCCAGAUGUUCCAGCCCAUCAUUUUACUGAUUCUCAUCCUUGUAUUAUUUUCCUCACUUUCCUAUACAACAAUAUUUAAACUUGUCUUCCUUUUUACACUGUUUUUUGUACUGUAAGUCUUUCAUCGUUUACCAUUCAUUGUAGUAUUUUCAGUUUGUUUGUUUUGUUCACCCUUCAAGACAAGAAGUAGAAGACGUAUAAUUUCUAUAAUAACCAACGCUGUAAAAACACUGAAGACUGCUUCUUUCUGUAUAAAGACAAAACACAUCUUACCACUACCAAAUUUAAUAAGAAGCCCAAGCACGAAAA
RNA transcript from Cavia porcellus (domestic guinea pig), 3853 nucleotides. It is a transcript of the gene named MTCL family member 3, with no coding region annotated. The transcript is spliced from 8 exons. The record is from RefSeq and is a predicted model, not a curated record. NCBI's taxonomy places the organism in Eukaryota, Metazoa, Chordata, Mammalia, Rodentia, Caviidae.